Long non-coding RNA from Notolabrus celidotus (New Zealand spotty), 993 nucleotides. RefSeq lists it as uncharacterized. The transcript has 3 exons. The record is from RefSeq and is a predicted model, not a curated record. NCBI's taxonomy places the organism in Eukaryota, Metazoa, Chordata, Actinopteri, Labriformes, Labridae.
GGCCGCAAGUAAGCACACUACAACUCCCAGCAGCCACCACUACCUGGACAGCUGCAGGUGCUUAAGAGCCUUGAUUGAGGCAGGACAAAGGAGCUGGAAGUCAGACUGGAGCUGUGUCUCAAUUCAGGGGCUGCAUCCUCCUGAGGCUGCAUUUUGAAGGCCGAUUGCGUCACAACGCUGCGCGAAGGCUGUCCCAUUUCGAAGGCUCCUUCAAAAACACCCGGAUGCAGCCCACAAAUGCGGCCUUCUUUUCCCUGUUCUAGAGGGACACAUCGCUACUAUCCUUCACGGCCCCAUAUAUCCCAAGAUCCUUUGCGCCGCUGCUCAUUCAUGAAAAUUAGACAUGGCGAUACCGGAACGUAGCGGAGAGAGCAUGAAAUUCACAUUCGAAUGGAGCAAGGAGCAGACACAAACAUUCAUAAAGCUUCGCAAGAAGCACGACAUAUUGUUCACUGGGGCCAAGAACUCAGCCGCUGUGGGAUGGAGAACAAUCUUGGAAGAGAUGGGCCUGCAUUAGCUGGUCACUCCCAUGCAGGCCCAAAAAAAGUGGGACAACCUGAAAAAGAAAUACAAAGUAUGUGCAGACAUGGAUGAUGAUAUUGAAACUAGAUGAUGUUGUUUUAUAUUGAUAUAUUUCAGUGUUUCCCUCAGUGUAUAGCGAGCCCGGGGGCAGACUGGACCUAAGUUGACCCCCCACCAUGCCUAAGUAUCGGGGAAAUGUUGUUUAAGAUGUUAUGUUUUGCAGCAACAUUCACAUCACAUAGUCAUAUUUUUAAAUCUCCUGUCAGCUUUUAGCACUGAGUUCAUGUAGCAUCUCCACACAAAUUACAGUUGGCUGCCACCCCCCAUUGAAAUCUUACCCAUAAAGUUGUGCAAUUUGUGUUCCCUGACCAGCUUGCCACCGGACCAGAAACUUGUCUACAGGAAACCCUGAUAUUUGUUUUACUGUAUUUGUUGUCCUCCAUGCAAUUUAAUAAACAUUGCCAAAAAUGA